Molecule: small RNA, 191 nt
Rfam family: Listeria sRNA rli28
Source: Rfam
AAUUAUAUGCUAUACUAAACAUAGCAGAAAAGUUAAAGGCGGUGGCGACUUCCGUAGAUUGGAGGUGGUGCUUAUGGUGUAAAAACCAACGUACCACGAUACCAACGAAAGGAGAAGCCUUGUGUCCAUUUCGGACGCUUUACAGCUUAUGCUAGGGUUCGGCAUGUUUGUCGUAGCCCUGUUAGCGUUAG